UAUACGACCGUACCGCAAACCGACACUGGUGCGCGAGAUGAGUAUUCUAAGGCGCUUGAGAGAACUCAGGAGAAGGAACUCGGCAAAUUGACACCGUAACUUCGGAAGAAGGUGUGCCCUAUUAGUGUGUAGUGAACAACGAAGCAUGAAUGGGUUGCAAAAAAUCGGUGGCUGCGACUGUUUAUUAAAAACACAGCACUCUGCAAACACGAAAGUGGACGUAUAGGGUGUGACGCCUGCCCGGUGCUGGAAGAUUAAAUGAUGGGGUGCAAGCUCUUGAUUGAAGUCCCAGUAAACGGCGGCCGUAACUAUAACGGUCCUAAGGUAGCGAAAUUCCUUGUCGGGUAAGUUCCGACCUGCACGAAUGGCGUAACGAUGGCCACACUGUCUCCUCCUGAGACUCAGCGAAGUUGAAAUGUUUGUGAUGAUGCAAUCUCCCCGCGGAAAGACGGAAAGACCCCAUGAACCUUUACUGUAGCUUUGUAUUGGACUUUGAACAGAUCUGUGUAGGAUAGGUGGGAGGCUUUGAAGCAGGGUCGCUAGAUCUUGUGGAGCCAACGUUGAAAUACCACCCUGGUGUGUUUGAGGUUCUAACCUAGGUCCAUUAUCUGGAUCGGGGACAGUGCAUGGUAGGCAGUUUGACUGGGGCGGUCCCCUCCCAAAGCGUAACGGAGGAGUUCGAAGGUACGCUAGUUAUGGUCGGACAUCGUGACGAUAGUGCAAUGGCAUAAGCGUGCUUAACUGCGAGACUGACAAGUCGAGCAGAUGCGAAAGCAGGACAUAGUGAUCCGGUGGUUCUGUAUGGAAGGGCCAUCGCUCAACGGAUAAAAGGUACUCUGGGGAUAACAGGCUGAUACCGCCCAAGAGUUCAUAUCGACGGCGGUGUUUGGCACCUCGAUGUCGGCUCAUCUCAUCCUGGGGCUGUAGCCGGUCCCAAGGGUAUGGCUGUUCGCCAUUUAAAGAGGUACGUGAGCUGGGUUUAAAACGUCGUGAGACAGUUUGGUCCCUAUCUUCCGUGGGCGCUGCAGAUUUGAGGAAGCCUGCUCCUAGUACGAGAGGACCGGAGUGGACACACCUCUGGUGUAUCGGUUGUCACGCCAGUGGCAUUGCCGAGUAGCUAAGUGUGGAAGAGAUAACCGCUGAAAGCAUCUAAGCGGGAAACUCGUUUCAAGAUGAGAUCUGCCGGGGCCUUGAGCCCCCUAAAGAGUCGUUCAAGACCAGGACGUUGAUAGGUCAGGUGUGGAAGC
RNAcentral lists this ribosomal RNA (1247 nucleotides) under metagenome. RNAcentral describes it as "bacterial LSU rRNA". It matches the Rfam family "Bacterial large subunit ribosomal RNA", at positions 1635 to 2874 of the family's 2925-position model. The record is from RNAcentral.